This 502-nucleotide ribosomal RNA is filed under the name Streptomyces sp. 1-23. RNAcentral's name for it is "bacterial SSU rRNA". It matches the Rfam family "Bacterial small subunit ribosomal RNA", at positions 19 to 538 of the family's 1533-position model. The record is from RNAcentral. Lineage: Bacteria; Bacillati; Actinomycetota; Actinomycetes; Kitasatosporales; Streptomycetaceae.
CUGGCUCAGGACGAACGCUGGCGGCGUGCUUAACACAUGCAAGUCGAACGAUGAAGCCCUUCGGGGUGGAUUAGUGGCGAACGGGUGAGUAACACGUGGGCAAUCUGCCCUUCACUCUGGGACAAGCCCUGGAAACGGGGUCUAAUACCGGAUAACACUCUGUCCCGCAUGGGACGGGGUUAAAAGCUCCGGCGGUGAAGGAUGAGCCCGCGGCCUAUCAGCUUGUUGGUGGGGUAAUGGCCUACCAAGGCGACGACGGGUAGCCGGCCUGAGAGGGCGACCGGCCACACUGGGACUGAGACACGGCCCAGACUCCUACGGGAGGCAGCAGUGGGGAAUAUUGCACAAUGGGCGAAAGCCUUAUGCAGCGACGCCGCGUGAGGGAUGACGGCCUUCGGGUUGUAAACCUCUUUCAGCAGGGAAGAAGCGAAAGUGACGGUACCUGCAGAAGAAGCGCCGGCUAACUACGUGCCAACAGCCGCGGUAAUACGUAGGGCGCAAG